This 433-nucleotide ribosomal RNA is filed under the name uncultured bacterium. RNAcentral describes it as "partial 16S ribosomal RNA". It matches the Rfam family "Bacterial small subunit ribosomal RNA", at positions 29 to 507 of the family's 1533-position model. The record is from RNAcentral.
AACGAACGCUGGCGGCAUGCCUAACACAUGCAAGUCGAACGAGACCUUCGGGUCUAGUGGCGCACGGGUGCGUAACGCGUGGGAACCUGCCCUUAGGUUCGGAAUAACUCCCCGAAAGGGGUGCUAAUACCGGAUAAUGUCUUCGGACCAAAGAUUUAUCGCCUUUGGAUGGGCCCGCGUUGGAUUAGCUAGUUGGUAGGGUAAAAGCCUACCAAGGCGACGAUCCAUAGCUGGUCUGAGAGGAUGAUCAGCCACACUGGGACUGAGACACGGCCCAGACUCCUACGGGAGGCAGCAGUGGGGAAUAUUGGACAAUGGGCGAAAGCCUGAUCCAGCAAUGCCGCGUGAGUGAUGAAGUCCUUAGGGUUGUAAAGCUCUUUUACCCGGGAUGAUAAUGACGGUACCGGGAGAAUAAGCUCCGGCUAACUCCGUG